Talpa occidentalis (Iberian mole) is the source of this 1452-nucleotide long non-coding RNA. RefSeq lists it as uncharacterized. The record is from RefSeq and is a predicted model, not a curated record. The transcript is spliced from 3 exons. NCBI's taxonomy places the organism in Eukaryota, Metazoa, Chordata, Mammalia, Eulipotyphla, Talpidae.
ACAUGCUGCACUGUGAAUCUACCACUAGUCCAAGCCAUGUUCUCAGUGCUGAGGAGAAAGAAGGACUGAGAGCUGGUUCUGGUCUUUAAAAGCGUACAGUCCAGAGUGGCAACAGACUUACAUAAACAACCAACUAUGGAACAAGGCAAGACAAGCGCUGUGUUGGUUUUCUGCGGCUGCCACAAACUGGAGUGAGAAUGGGUUAUGUCUAACAGUGAGAUGGUCCUGAGUCUCAAGAGAAGUCUGUUCCUCACCAUACUCAAAUCUCACCAUCAUUGGUAUUAUUAUUUAAAAAAUUACCUUGACCACUGCUGGAAACUCUGGAGUUAUGAAAGCUGCCUGGAAUUGAGCUGUUGGUCACCACGGCCCCAGGUUAUAGGAUCAGUUCUGCAAGUCAGCCUUCAGGAUGCUGCGAAGAAACGACCUAAUCUCUUCAGACCUGAGGAUUGAAGACCCUUGAGAAAGGGAGAGCUCUGCACACUCAGUCUGUAUUGGGGAGCACCUGAGCAACACCUGGGGAAUGAAGAAGCCGGAAGAGUAGGGAGCUGUGCUACAGAGGUAACCCAGGCUCAGAAGCUGUCAUGGCCUUGAAGAGUUUUCCUGAAGUGGGGCAGGGGGGCCUGGCUAGGAUACCUCUGCAUGACUCUUCCUCCCAAACCUCCUCUCACCUCCUCCUUCUGAGUGACUUUGCCUGGGCAAGUGAUUGCUUCAGUGGGACGAGGGGCAGGGUAUCUGAGCUGCACCCCACAGCAUCUCCUAGACAAGUGUUACGUGAAAUGUGUGAGGAGAGAGUACUUGGGGGCCGUGUGUACCUGAUAUGUGUGUGUAGCUGUGUAUGGACUUGCCUGUCCCAGAGUCUGUAGACACAUGGGGUGACUGUGUUUGAGUAUGGCCCUGCUGUGUUUUGCAUCUGUGUGCAUCUGUGGAAUUCAGUGUGUUGUGUAUCUCUGAGCAGAUGUCCACACGUGUUCCGUGUCCUGUUGCUGAAGAGAACAGAGGAGCCGACUGGGCCAGAAUGUGGAUGCUGGGCUGCCUCAGUGGCCUUGGAAGGGGAGAGGAUGGUACUGGGGGAGAGGGCCACUCUCAUUUGCAGAAGUAGUCCUUUCUUUGGUCUGACCAGGAUCUUUCAUAUCCCUACUACCCUUCUUCCAAACCCAGCCUCUGUCAGGGAAUACAAAAUCACAGAAUGAGAGCUUGGAUGGAGUAGGGGUAUGCUGGAGACAGCACUGUCUCAUCAGUCAGCCUCCCUUUGGGGAGGUAGGAGAGUGGAGUUUCUUAUGAUGCUGCUCCUCCUCAGGGUGGGGAACCCCUGUAGAGAAUCCCUAGAAAAUCUCCCUGAAGCCUCUCCCUCUAGCUGACCAUGUCUCCAACACUUCUGUGUAUGUGAAAUACUCUGGAAAUGUACACCCAUCCACAGCCACCUGAGAACCGUAAGGAUUUUAAUAAAUGAUU